UCCGUACAGAGGUGUGUGGCUGUGGGUCGGUAAUGAGAUGAUCCAUCUGAUGGAGCUUCCAAAUCCUGAUCCGUUGACAGGGCGCCCUGAACAUGGGGGUCGAGAUCGUCAUGCCUGUAUUGCAAUCCGAGAUGUGUCCAAGCUCAAAGAAAUAUUUGAUAAAGCUGGAAUCAGGUACACCCUCAGUCGCUCAGGGAGGCCAGCAAUCUUUGCAAGAGACCCUGAUGAAAAUGCAUUGGAAUUCACGCAAGUUGAUUAGUAUACUCUCUUAAAUAAACACGAG
RNAcentral lists this unclassified non-coding RNA (283 nucleotides) under Hevea brasiliensis (rubber tree). Lineage: Eukaryota; Viridiplantae; Streptophyta; Magnoliopsida; Malpighiales; Euphorbiaceae. The record is from RNAcentral.